Molecule: non-coding RNA, 86 nt
Organism: Daucus carota subsp. sativus
Lineage: Eukaryota; Viridiplantae; Streptophyta; Magnoliopsida; Apiales; Apiaceae
Source: Rfam
AUUGCAAAUGACGAAAAAAAGACAGGGACAUCAGAGCUCCUUGGAGUAAAAGAUGACUUGGUCGAUGGGAAUCUCUCUGAUGCUAU